UUACUCAAAAUAUGUUAAAAGUAUUUCAAGAUAUGCUGAUAACCGCGGGUGAAGAAGUAAAUGCUAUGGAAAACCACGAUCCAUUCGAAUCACCUGUUUCGAAUGACACCAUCAAUGAGGACAAAACAUUAGGUCGUUCGUUCCUUGUGGAGAAUGAUGUCACUGCUUUGUUCAGAGCCACGACUAAUUUAAAUUUUUCACUUAUACAUGAAGUUCAUAUGUACCUCACCACCCCUCCAACAAAUAUGGAUUGCUGUAAAUAUUUAUCUGAUUUCCCAACAAUACGAAAGCUGUAUCUCAAAUAUAAUUCCAUUCGUACGAGUGAAGCGAUUUGCGAACGCCUAUUCCGAUAUGCAGCUCACAUUCAUAAUGUUUUCAUGAAUAUUUGUCCGCGAAAAUACUUGGUGACAUGAUGCCCAAUUGGUGCUGCUUUGUGUUGUGUUGUGUUGUGUUUGUUUGGGUUUGUUUGGUGGUGGAAUCAUCUUCCAUGAUACGAGACGAAGUAUGACCGAUGAUUUAUUUGAAAAUCUACUUCUUUUGCACAUGAGCAGUUGGGACUGGGACUUAUAAUUUGCCAAAUUUCAUCGAUAAAACCUCUCGAAUGAUAUUUAUGUUUCCACCUUGGUCUUACCAUCUCUACUUUUAAGAUUCAUUGGAAUUAAACCAAAGUUUUUUUUACCAAACAUAAAAUUCAACUUA
This is an RNA transcript of Sitodiplosis mosellana (orange wheat blossom midge), 699 nucleotides long. RefSeq lists it as uncharacterized. Lineage: Eukaryota; Metazoa; Arthropoda; Insecta; Diptera; Cecidomyiidae. The record is from RefSeq and is a predicted model, not a curated record. The transcript is spliced from 5 exons.